RNAcentral lists this ribosomal RNA (406 nucleotides) under uncultured Glomeromycotina. RNAcentral's name for it is "SSU rRNA". It matches the Rfam family "Eukaryotic small subunit ribosomal RNA", at positions 569 to 982 of the family's 1831-position model. The record is from RNAcentral. Lineage: Eukaryota; Fungi; Glomeromycota.
AGCAGCCGCGGUAAUUCCAGCUCCAAUAGCGUAUAUUAAAGUUGUUGCAGUUAAAAAGCUCGUAGUUGAAUUUCGGGAUCAAUAUGUCGGUCAUGCCUCGGUACGCACUGGCUUAUUGGUUUCUCCCUUCUGACGAACCAUGAUGUCAUUAAUUUGGUGUCUUGGGAAAUCAGGACUGUUACUUUGAAAAAUUAGAGUGUUUAAAGCAGGCUCACGCUUGAAUACAUUAGCAUGGAAUAAUGAAAUAGGACGUUUGAUUCUAUUUUGUUGGUUUCUAGGAUCGACGUAAUGAUUAAUAGGGAUAGUUGGGGGCAUUAGUAUUCAAUUGUCAGAGGUGAAAUUCUUGGAUUUAUUGAAGACUAACUACUGCGAAAGUAUUUGCCAAGGAUGUUUUCAUUAAUCAAGA